AGCAAACGCUGGCGGCGUGCCUAAUACAUGCAAGUCGAACGGGGAAGUACCUUCGGGUAUUGUACUAGUGGCGGACGGGUGAGUAACACGUGGGUAGUCUGCCCUCGAGCGGGGAAUAACCAGUCGAAAGAUUGGCUAAUACCGCAUAAGACCACAAUCUCUGCGGAGAAAGGGGUCAAAGGCUUCGGCCACUCGAGGAUGAGCCUGCGCCCGAUUAGUUAGUUGGUGAGGUAAUGGCUCACCAAGACGAUGACCGGUAGCUGGUCUGAGAGGAUGAUCAGCCACAUUGGGACUGAGACACGGCCCAAACUCCUACGGGAGGCAGCAGUAGGGAAUAUUGCGCUAUGGAGGAAACUCUGACGCAGCGACGCCGCGUGAGUGAUGAAGGCUUUCGGGUUGUAAAGCUCUGUUCUCAGGGAAAAAGAAAGAGAUGGUACCUGAGAAGAAAGGACCGGCUAACUUCGUGCCAGCAGCCGCCGUAA
RNAcentral lists this ribosomal RNA (482 nucleotides) under uncultured bacterium. Its description in RNAcentral is "partial 16S ribosomal RNA". It matches the Rfam family "Bacterial small subunit ribosomal RNA", at positions 29 to 523 of the family's 1533-position model. The record is from RNAcentral.